Molecule: unclassified non-coding RNA, 336 nt
Filed under: soil metagenome
Description: partial contains 5.8S ribosomal RNA, internal transcribed spacer 2, and large subunit ribosomal RNA
Rfam family: 5.8S ribosomal RNA (bases 1-120)
Source: RNAcentral
GAUGAAGAACGCAGUGAAAUGCGAUAAGUAAUGUGAAUUGCAGAAUUCAGUGAAUCAUCGAAUCUUUGAACGCACAUUGCGCCCCUUGGUAUUCCGAGGGGCAUGCCUGUUCGAGCGUCAUUUCAACCCCUCAAGCUUAGCUUGGUGUUGGGCUGCGCCAGCGUUGCUGGCGGGCCUUAAAAUCAGUGGCGGUGCCGUUUGGGCUCCAAGCGUAGUAGCAUCUCUCGCUCUGGAGACCCGGCGGUUGCUUGCCAGACAAUCACUAAAAAAACAAAGGUUUGACCUCGGAUCAGGUAGGGAUACCCGCUGAACUUAAGCAUAUCAAUAAGCGGAGGA